This 73-nucleotide transfer RNA is filed under the name Dipodomys ordii (Ord's kangaroo rat). It matches the Rfam family "tRNA". From Rfam's summary of the family: Transfer RNA (tRNA) molecules are approximately 80 nucleotides in length. The record is from Rfam by way of RNAcentral. Lineage: Eukaryota; Metazoa; Chordata; Mammalia; Rodentia; Heteromyidae.
GGAGGCAUGGUUCAAGUAACAGAACUCAUGCCUAAUAAGCACAAGGGCCUAAGUUCAAUCCCCAGUACUUCCA